CCUACGGGUGGCAGCAGUGAGGAAUAUUGGUCAAUGGGCGCGAGCCUGAACCAGCCAAGUCGCGUGAGGGAAGACGGUCCUAUGGAUUGUAAACCUCUUGUGGCGGGGAGCAAAAGACGCCACGCGUGGCGUUCCGAGAGUACCCGAAGAAAAAGCAUCGGCUAACUCCGUGACAGGAGCCGCGGUAAUACGGAGGAUGCGAGCGUUAUCCGGAUUUAGUGGGGUUAAAGGGUGAGCAGGCGGAAGAUCAAGUCGGCGGUAAAAUUGAUAGGCUCAACCUCUUCGAGCCGUUGAAACUGGUUUUCUUGAGUGAGCGAGAAGUAUGCGGAAUGCGUGGUGUAGCGGUGAAAUGCAUAGAUAUCACGCAGAACUCCGAUUGCGAAGGCAGCAUACCGGCGCUCAACUGACGCUCAUGCACGAAAGUGUGGGUAUCGAACAGGAUUAGAUACCCUUGUAGUC
Molecule: ribosomal RNA, 459 nt
Filed under: uncultured bacterium
Lineage: Bacteria
Description: partial 16S ribosomal RNA
Rfam family: Bacterial small subunit ribosomal RNA
Source: RNAcentral